AACGAACGCUGGCGGCGUGCUUAACACAUGCAGGUCGAACGGAAAGGCCCUGCUUUUGUGGGUUGCUCGAGUGGCGAACGGGUGAGUAACACGUGAGUAACCUGCCCUUGACUUUGUGAUAACUUCAGGAAACUGGGGCUAAUACCGGAUAGGAGCUCCUGCUGCAUGGUGGGGGUUGGAAAGUUUCGGCGGUUGGGGAUGGACUCGCGGCUUAUCAGCUUGUUGGUGGGGUAGUGGCUUACCAAGGCUUUGACGGGUAGCCGGCCUGAGAGGGUGACCGGCCACAUUGGGACUGAGAUACGGCCCAGACUCCUACGGGAGGCAGCAGGGGGGAAUAUUGCACAAUGGGCGGAAGCCUGAUGCAGCAACGCCGCGUGCGGGAUGACGGCCUUCGGGUUGUAAACCGAUUUCGCCUGUGACGAAGCGUGAGUGACGGUAAUGGGUAAAGAAGCACCGGCUAACUACGUG
RNAcentral lists this ribosomal RNA (468 nucleotides) under uncultured bacterium. Its description in RNAcentral is "partial 16S ribosomal RNA". It matches the Rfam family "Bacterial small subunit ribosomal RNA", at positions 28 to 507 of the family's 1533-position model. The record is from RNAcentral.